Molecule: ribosomal RNA, 614 nt
Filed under: Salmonella enterica
Lineage: Bacteria; Pseudomonadati; Pseudomonadota; Gammaproteobacteria; Enterobacterales; Enterobacteriaceae
Also listed under: 2 other names
Description: partial 23S ribosomal RNA
Rfam family: Bacterial large subunit ribosomal RNA
Source: RNAcentral
GGCGUUAAGUUGCAGGGUAUAGACCCGAAACCCGGUGAUCUAGCCAUGGGCAGGUUGAAGGUUGGGUAACACUAACUGGAGGACCGAACCGACUAAUGUUGAAAAAUUAGCGGAUGACCUGUGGCUGGGGGUGAAAGGCCAAUCAAACCGGGAGAUAGCUGGUUCUCCCCGAAAGCUAUUUAGGUAGCGCCUCGUGAAUUCAUCUCCGGGGGUAGAGCACUGUUUCGGCUAGGGGGCCAUCCCGGCUUACCAACCCGAUGCAAACUGCGAAUACCGGAGAAUGUUAUCACGGGAGACACACGGCGGGUGCUAACGUCCGUCGUGAAGAGGGAAACAACCCAGACCGCCAGCUAAGGUCCCAAAGUCAUGGUUAAGUGGGAAACGAUGUGGGAAGGCCCAGACAGCCAGGAUGUUGGCUUAGAAGCAGCCAUCAUUUAAAGAAAGCGUAAUAGCUCACUGGUCGAGUCGGCCUGCGCGGAAGAUGUAACGGGGCUAAACCAUGCACCGAAGCUGCGGCAGCGAACGUAUCACUUAAAGCGAUUCAGCGGGUUACGAUUGACGGAGCGAAGCGACGUCAAAGCGUAUACAAAGUCGAGUCGGUUUAAGGAUACGUU